Molecule: long non-coding RNA, 400 nt
Organism: Ailuropoda melanoleuca (giant panda)
Lineage: Eukaryota; Metazoa; Chordata; Mammalia; Carnivora; Ursidae
Exons: 3
Source: RefSeq, a predicted model, not a curated record
AAAGGCAGACACUUAAUGCCUGAGCCACCCAGGUGCCCCCCCCACCCCCUUUUCUGUAUAUUCACCCCAGCCUCACUGAAUCACCACUGGUGGGAAGGGAAGCUCCGCAGACACAGGCCAGCAAGGACCUGCUGAAUGACAGUGGAGGAGAUUCACAGGGAGAAAGUGGCCAUGGACCUGAUUUCAAGCUUUUCCAUGGAAACCUGGCUCCUCCUGGCUACCAGCCUGGUGCUCCUCUAUCUAUAUGGGACCUACACACAUGGACUUUUUAAAAAGCUGGGAAUUCCUGGGCCAACACCUCUGCCUUUUGUGGGAACUGUUCUGGCCUACCGAAAUGGUUUUUGUGAUUUUGAUGAGAAAUGUUUUAAAAAGUAUGGAAGAAUGUGGGGGUGAGUAUUCU